UGAGUGGAUUGUGGGAGAGUUUGAGGUUCUGCAUUGCACAAUCUAACAUCAAUCCCCAGCAAAAAUUUGGUGUAUAUGUAAAGCUCGUUUGGGAAGUGCUCCCUCCAUCUAUACAUCAUCAACCACAAUGGCCAUUUAGUCUCUGCAAGCGGGAGGUGAUUUCUUGCUUUUCCUCAAUUCCUUUAGAUGCGUGAGGUGAUAGCAAAACUAGACCUCACAAGAAAGUAAUCUAAAAGUGACCAGUAACACGUCCUGUGGUAAUAGGAGUUCCAGCAAUUUUCAGCACGCCAAAUAUGUACAAGAGAGAAUAAAAAGGACGCAAAGGUGAGCAAGAUCACAAAGAAGCACAUUUACUAUGUAAAUCUCGUUUGGGAAGUGCUCCCUCCAUCUAUACAUCAUCAACCACAAUGGCCAUUUAGUCUCUGCAAGCGGGAGGUGAUUUCUUGCUUUUCCUCAAUUCCUUUAGAUGCGUGAGGUGAUAGCAAAACUAGACCUCACAAGAAAGUAAUCUAAAAGUGACCAGUAACACGUCCUGUGGUAAUAGGAGUUCCAGCAAUUUUCAGCACGCCAAAUAUGUACAAGAGAGAAUAAAAAGGACGCAAAGGUGAGCAAGAUCACAAAGAAGCACAUUUACUUUUUCCUUGAGUAGAAGAGCUUUUAUCCAAUCUCUAGUAUCUAAAAGUUCAGAACUUAUAUAUACGACCC
This 705-nucleotide long non-coding RNA is filed under the name Nicotiana benthamiana. RNAcentral's name for it is "long non-coding RNA (NBEN_LNC027558)". Lineage: Eukaryota; Viridiplantae; Streptophyta; Magnoliopsida; Solanales; Solanaceae. The record is from RNAcentral.